UACGAAGGGUGCAAGCGUUGUUCGGAAUUACUGGGCGUAAAGCGUGCGUAGGCGGUUUGAUAAGUUGAGAGUGAAAUCCCGGGGCUUAACUCCGGAAUUGCUUUCAAAACUAUCAAUCUAGAAUAUGGUAGGGGACAGUGGAAUUCCUAGUGUAGAGGUGAAAUUCGUAGAUAUUAGGAGGAACACCAGUGGCGAAAGCGACUGUCUGGGCCAUUAUUGACGCUGAGGCACGAAAGCGUGGGGAGCAAACAGG
Molecule: ribosomal RNA, 253 nt
Filed under: uncultured bacterium
Lineage: Bacteria
Description: partial 16S ribosomal RNA
Rfam family: Bacterial small subunit ribosomal RNA
Source: RNAcentral